RNAcentral lists this ribosomal RNA (479 nucleotides) under uncultured bacterium. RNAcentral's name for it is "bacterial SSU rRNA". It matches the Rfam family "Bacterial small subunit ribosomal RNA", at positions 28 to 507 of the family's 1533-position model. The record is from RNAcentral.
GAUGAACGCUGGCGGCGUGCCUAACACAUGCAAGUCGAGCGUGAACCCUUAGAAUGAAACUUCGGUCGAAUGACGAGGGGGAAAGCGGCGGACGGGUGAGUAACGCGUAGGCAACCUGCCCCGUACAGAGGGAUAGCCUCGGGAAACCGGGAUUAAAAACCUCAUAAUACCAUGGUAUCACAUGAUGCAAUGGUCAAAGAUUUAUCGGUAUGGGAUGGGCCUGCGUCUGAUUAGCUGGUUGGUGGGGUAACGGCCUACCAAGGCAACGAUCAGUAGCCGACCUGAGAGGGUAAUCGGCCACAUUGGAACUGAGACACGGUCCAAACUCCUACGGGAGGCAGCAGUGGGGAAUAUUGCACAAUGGGCGAAAGCCUGAUGCAGCAACGCCGCGUGAGCGAAGAAGGCCUUUGGGUCGUAAAGCUCUGUCGGGAAGGAAGAUAAUGACGGUACUUCCCGAGGAAGCCCCGGCUAACUACGUG